GUCGCCGUUGACAGAAGAGGGCAAACUAUGGGGGAAAUGGCGGAGAAUGAUGAGUUUUACCUGAGAUAUUACGUGGGUCACAAAGGAAAAUUCGGUCACGAGUUCUUAGAGUUUGAGUUUAGGCCUGAUGGCAAGCUCCGUUAUGCUAACAAUUCCAACUACAAGAAUGAUACAAUGAUUCGCAAGGAAGUCUUCCUUACCCCUUCUGUUCUCAAAGAAUGCCGCCGCAUUGUUGCUGAUAGCGAGAUCAUGAAGGAAGAUGAUAACAACUGGCCGGAACCAGAUAGAGUUGGUAGACAGGAGCUUGAGAUUGUGAUGGGAAAUGAACACAUAUCAUUCACUACAUCUAAGAUUGGUUCAUUAAUGGAUGUGCAGACCAGUAAUGAUCCUGAGGGACUCCGUAUCUUCUAUUAUCUUGUUCAGGAUUUGAAGUGCUUUGUGUUCUCUCUCAUCUCGCUCCAUUUCAAGAUCAAACCCAUUUAACUUGUUCUUAUGGCGUAUGUUAAACGUUAGCUGGAUGUGCUCAGUCUCAUGUUUUGAAUGUGUUGAAUCGUGUAUCCAAAGAGAUAGUGCCGUCUAAUGGUUUCGAG
RNAcentral lists this unclassified non-coding RNA (590 nucleotides) under Hevea brasiliensis (rubber tree). The record is from RNAcentral. Lineage: Eukaryota; Viridiplantae; Streptophyta; Magnoliopsida; Malpighiales; Euphorbiaceae.